Molecule: ribosomal RNA, 253 nt
Filed under: uncultured bacterium
Lineage: Bacteria
Description: partial 16S ribosomal RNA
Rfam family: Bacterial small subunit ribosomal RNA
Source: RNAcentral
UACGUAGGGUGCGAGCGUUAAUCGGAAUUACUGGGCGUAAAGUGUGCGCAGGCGGCAGAGCAAGUCGAGUGUGAAAGCCCCGGGCUUAACUUGGGAAUUGCGCUCGAAACUACUUUGCUGGAGUGUGGCAGAGGAAGGUGGAAUUCCACGUGUAGCGGUGAAAUGCGUAGAGAUGUGGAGGAACACCAAUGGCGAAGGCAGCCUUUUGGGCCAACACUGACGCUCAUGCACGAAAGCGUGGGGAGCAAACAGG